GACGAACGCUGGCGGCGUGCUUAACACAUGCAAGUCGAGCGGUAGGGCCCUUUCGGGGGUACACGAGCGGCGAACGGGUGAGUAACACGUGGGUGACCUGCCCUUAGCUCUGGGAUAAGCCUGGGAAACUGGGUCUAAUACCGGAUAUGACUCCAUGACGCAUGUUGUGGGGGUGGAAAGCCUUGUGCGGCUAGGGAUGGGCCUGCGGCCUAUCAGCUUGUUGGUGGGGUGAUGGCCUACCAAGGCGACGACGGGUAGCCGGCCUGAGAGGGCGACCGGCCACACUGGGACUGAGACACGG
This 301-nucleotide ribosomal RNA is filed under the name uncultured bacterium. RNAcentral's name for it is "bacterial SSU rRNA". It matches the Rfam family "Bacterial small subunit ribosomal RNA", at positions 28 to 329 of the family's 1533-position model. The record is from RNAcentral.